AAAUUGAAGAGUUUGAUCAUGGCUCAGAUUGAACGCUGGCGGCAGGCCUAACACAUGCAAGUCGAACGGUAACAGGAAACAGCUUGCUGUUUCGCUGACGAGUGGCGGACGGGUGAGUAAUGUCUGGGAAACUGCCUGAUGGAGAGGGAUAACUACUGGAAACGGUAGCUAAUACCGCAUAACGUC
RNAcentral lists this ribosomal RNA (186 nucleotides) under Escherichia coli. RNAcentral describes it as "partial 16S ribosomal RNA". It matches the Rfam family "Bacterial small subunit ribosomal RNA", at positions 1 to 180 of the family's 1533-position model. Lineage: Bacteria; Pseudomonadati; Pseudomonadota; Gammaproteobacteria; Enterobacterales; Enterobacteriaceae. RNAcentral also lists the same sequence under 1 other name. The record is from RNAcentral.